AAUCGUAUUCAGAUCCCGAAAACAAGUAAGGACCCCUCACUCUAUUUCCUAUCACGGUAUUAAAGUUCAAAAUGAUAAAACGGUAUUUCUUGAAUUAACGAAUGUGUGAAAUUGCUUAAGGUGGCUAAUGGAGCCCGAGUCUAGUGUGAUUGGUGAUUUACUGUUAUUUGGUCUGUUUACAACUUUAAAUGCAAAAUGAGGUUUGAUGUGUUCAUUUUACAGAUUUGUGUGCAUAUACUACGUUUUUAUUAAUCAUGGGUUGAAUGACUGAAAAACUGAUGCUGUAUGUUGUCUGUUUGGCAUGAAUUACGAUUUGCUUGUUUAAAUGUGAAUUGAUGAUGCUGACUGAGGAAAAGGAAAAUGAAAGAUUGUGUAGACUGAUAAUUGUAUUAUGGGGGUCAGCCUGACUAGAUAUCCUAGGAGAUGGUGGACGGACCGGGUCCGUAGGGAACCCUACCGGGAUUGUGGUCUCACAUGCCGGACGGGGUAUGGAGAUCUUAUGGUUUUGGCGCCCAUACCGGACGGGGUAUGGGGACGGCCCGUUUCACCCUCAUACCGGACGGGGUAUUGAGGUUUAUGGUUUUGGCGCCCAUACCGGACGGGGUAUGGGGACGGCCCGUUUCACCCUCAUACCGGACGGGGUAUUGAGGUUCAUGGUUUUGGCGCCCAUACCGGACGGGGUAUGGGGACGGCCCUGGAAACUGAUCAUGAAUGUUAAAGGUUAACGGGUAGCGGAACCCCUAUGGACCUCCACGGAUACUAGUAGGCUGGUAAAUGAGAAAAAGAUAUGUUGUACAAUGAUUGAAUUACAAGAGCCGUGAUAAGUGUUAUGUUUUACAGCUUAUAUUAUUCCAUGAUUAUGAUAAUGUUAUUGUUUUCUUAUAUUGUUUUCAUAAAUUCCACCGAGGUAAGUGGAGGGUAAAGGUUUUCAUGUUAAUAAACGAGUUUGUUGUAAAUUAUGCUCCAUUGGUCUUUUGUGUUUUUCUACCCCCCUUUACCUCCGUGACGGUGAGAUAUCGUGAUGUUCUUACUGGGCUAGUGUAGCUCACUCCUUAUUUAACCAUUUCAGAUCAGGAAGACAUGGUUCCCGAGCCCGUUCCGCAGGAGGACGACGAAGGGGAUGCCUAGAGACUCUGUAGUCAUACUCAUAGUUUUAUUUUCGAGUUUCUCUCUUAGUUAGUUUAAUCUUUUAUAUUUUAAGUACGUUUUUGGUUUUUUUCGUGUAAGGGAUGUUAACUGAAAUUUUGAUCUCGCUUCC
RNAcentral lists this long non-coding RNA (1258 nucleotides) under Carica papaya (papaya). RNAcentral describes it as "long non-coding RNA (CPAP_LNC001775)". The record is from RNAcentral. Lineage: Eukaryota; Viridiplantae; Streptophyta; Magnoliopsida; Brassicales; Caricaceae.